CUUAUGAAACCAAAAGAGAUGCAGUUCGAAACCCUAAAAGAACUCCGUAUACACCUUCUUCUCCAUCAUCUACACAUCUGUCUCAUCCAAAUCUGUUCACCUCUCUUCUUUUCUUCGUUGAUUUACCUUUAGGUAAUAGGUUGUUUGCUUUUUAGGGUUUAAAGCUCAGCAUUCUACAGUUGCCAGAUAUUUAGAUUUUGUUCUUCGGUACUAUUUUUCUCCUUCCUCUCUAUCUUCAUUCUAAUCCCUCCCGUUUCAUAAGUUUGCUUUUUAGGGUUUAAAGCUCAACAUUCUACAGUUGCCAGAGACUUAGAUCAAGUCCUUUGCGGCAUUGGUAAAGUUUUGGCUGAUACUUGAUAAAUGGAACAAGGUGUACUUACAGAAUGAAUGAAGGAGCACUUUGUGAUACAUUUUCUCUUGAUCAUUUGAGGAAGGAUCUUUAAAGUUUCAGGAAGAAGGCAUAAUUGGAUUGGCCACGACCACUGCAUCCAGGGUAUUGGUCAAUUGGUAUGUAUUGGAGUCAAUGAAUUCAGAGAAGUGUGAGUGUAUAUAUCACUAAACAUAUCUAUAAGAUGAAUAAUUGGAUUGGCCACGACCACUGCAUCCAGGGUAUUGGUCAAUUGGUAUGUAUUGGAGGUCAAUGAAUUCAGAAAAGUGUGAGUGUAUAUAUCACUAAACAUCUCUAUAAGAUGAAUACAUUUUUUUGUGGUGUUAUAUCUUGCUUAUAUAUGCAUCCGAUCAUACUAUCUAACUAAUUAGUAAGACAAGUGUUGACCCGUGUUCAAAUCUCUUAAAGUGAAACGAAUUAGAUUUCAUGGGACCAAUGAUGUCACCAGCUGGGAUAUGUUCAUGCUCGAUGACGAUGUAAGUAACAGUGACAUCUCUAAUAAAUUAUCCAAGUUGCAGGCUUAUUUGAGGUUUUGUAUGGAUGGUUUGAAACUGUAUGUUCCCAUUUUUAACUUCUAAUUGAGAUUAAUCGAGAGUGUGCUUACUGGCGGGACUCUUUCUGGAAAAAAAAGAGUAGAAUGGGUAAAGAGUGAUCUCUUCCAAAUUUGGAUGAUGAAACGAGGAGGGAGAGCCUCGCUGUGGUUUCCAUGGAUAAAGCCUAAAGAGUGCGCUGGGAUACCAACUGUAGUGUCGCUAUAAACCGUGUGGAGUAAUAAGAUGAUGUUUCAUCUGUCUAGAUGUUUAUCCCUUUAUUCUAUUUUCCUACGUUGAUUUCCAGUUAAGUGUAACAACAUGCACAUUAGCUAUUAAUUUUUUCGUCGAAAUUUAAAAUCUAUGUGUCGUACUAAUAAUAUAGAAAUGGAUCAUUCUUUUUGGUUUAGUUCUGAUGUGAAAUUCAGUUUUUUGUUUCUCUUUCUGCAAUUUACCUACCUUGGCGUCCUGUUGUAUUGUAAGGACAAAAAACUCCCGCUAUAACUGGAUGAAAAUCCUUUCUCUACAGUUUAUCAUUCCAAUUUUUGCUUGCCUGAUAUGUCAGGAUCACCUGGUUUGUUAAAGUUUUCUCACAAAAUUUAUUGGUGGUAGCCUGUGAGUCUUCGUUGUUUGCUGUUUAUGUUGUUGUUCGCUUCGUUUUUUUCCUUUGCUUUUUAAAUGGAUAUCAUAUAUUCUUUUUUAAUUGACAGGGACUUGGUCCACUCCGCUAACGCCAGAAACUAUGGUUCCUUGAAGGAAGCACAAUCUUAUACAUUUAAAAAGAUUUUUCGUUUAAGUUGGUCAAUGAGCUCUUCCAUGUUUUAUGGAUCGAUGGAUAUGACUUUUAAGUGUCAUUUCUCUUAAAUCUGGAGGUUUGGGAAGAAGAAGUGUUAGAUAAGUUUCUUUUAGAGUUCUUGGAGAUAAAACGGGAAUGUGAAAUUUGAAUGUCUUGCUAUUGGUUGACAAUUUGCUUGGGGAAAUCUCUGCUCAGGUUUGUCGAUUCCUGUUUCUAUUUCUCUUAUAGGUUUUUGUUUGGUCACUGCCUUUUGAAUUUUUACAAGUGAUUGGUAUAAUUUGUUCAUGUGGUCAUGUUUACCCCUUUCUUUCUCGGUAGCAAGUUUUAUGUUCAAUUGUGUUACUAUGACUUCUCAUUAUAGAUUCGUAUCAAUCAGAUUCGCAUCAAUCAGAGGUCUGUAUGAUAUUCUUUUAUUUGUAACCAAAAAUACCUUAGAGUUUUCCAAUAUUUUUUUUUGUACCCCCAAUAACAUUUUUAAAAGACUAAACCGAGCACACAAACAUUACACAUCGCAGUAUGCACUUUCACAGUGUUCACAGUGGAUAGAUGGAAGUCAUCUGUAUCAAUUUGGAGCCCAGGGACCUGAAUUCCUCCAAACUACGUAUAAAUAAGGUUCUUUAAAUGAAUUUUUAUAUCCUAAGCUGGGCGAGGCAAAGCUGAUCCACAUAAAAUCGAAAAUCCUCAGCAUGCAUCUGGACGAGGCGAGGCGAAGCCUAAUCACACCAAAUUAAAAAACCUAAGCAUGCAUCGAGACGAGGCGAAACCGAUCCACACUAAAUCAAGAAUCCUAAGC
This is a long non-coding RNA of Papaver somniferum (opium poppy), 2507 nucleotides long. RefSeq lists it as uncharacterized. The record is from RefSeq and is a predicted model, not a curated record. The transcript has 8 exons. NCBI's taxonomy places the organism in Eukaryota, Viridiplantae, Streptophyta, Magnoliopsida, Ranunculales, Papaveraceae.